CCUGGUUAUUCAUAACCCUUUGUUGUCCGACUCUGUUGCCUCCGGGGCGACCCUGCCUUCGGGCGGGGGCUCCGGGUGGACACUUCAAACUCUUGCGUAACUUUGCAGUCUGAGUAAACUUAAUUAAUAAAUUAAAACUUUUAACAACGGAUCUCUUGGUUCUGGCAUCGAUGAAAAACGCAGCGAAAUGCGAUAAGUAAUGUGAAUUGCAGAAUUCAGUGAAUCAUCGAAUCUUUGAACGCACAUUGCGCCCCCUGGUAUUCCGGGGGGCAUGCCUGUUCGAGCGUCAUUUCACCACUCAAGCCUCGCUUGGUAUUGGGCAACGCGGUCCGCCGCGUGCCUCAAAUCGUCCGGCUGGGUCUUCUGUCCCCUAACCGUUGUGGAAACUAUUCACUAAAGGGUGUUCGGGAGGCUACGCCGUAAAACAACCC
This 431-nucleotide small RNA is filed under the name Cladosporium sp. 4 MU-2012. RNAcentral's name for it is "eukaryotic LSU rRNA". The stretch from base 136 to 289 matches the Rfam family "5.8S ribosomal RNA". Lineage: Eukaryota; Fungi; Ascomycota; Dothideomycetes; Cladosporiales; Cladosporiaceae. The record is from RNAcentral.